RNAcentral lists this ribosomal RNA (497 nucleotides) under uncultured bacterium. RNAcentral's name for it is "partial 16S ribosomal RNA". It matches the Rfam family "Bacterial small subunit ribosomal RNA", at positions 28 to 507 of the family's 1533-position model. The record is from RNAcentral.
GAUGAACGCUGGCGGCGUGCCUAAUACAUGCAAGUCGAGCGAACAGACGAGGAGCUUGCUCCUCUGACGUUAGCGGCGGACGGGUGAGUAACACGUGGAUAACCUACCUAUAAGACUGGGAUAACUUCGGGAAACCGGAGCUAAUACCGUAUAAUAUAUUGAACCGCAUGGUUCGAUAGUGAAAGACGGUUUUGCUGUCUCUUAUAGAUGGAUCCCCGCCGCAUUAGCUAGUUGUUAAGGUAACGGCUUACCACGGCAACGAUGCGUAGCCGACCUGAGAGGGUGAUCGGCCACACUGGAACUGAGACACGGUCCAGACUCCUACGGGAGGCAGCAGUAGGGAAUCUUCCGCAAUGGGCGAAAGCUUGACGGAGCAACGCCGCGUGAGUGAUGAAGGUCUUCGGAUCGUAAAACUCUGUUAUUAGGGAAGAACCAAUGUGUAAGUAACUAUGCACGUCUUGACGGUACCUAAUCAGAAAGCCACGGCUAACUACGUG